UAUGUCUGUUUGGAAAGAAGU
RNAcentral lists this non-coding RNA (21 nucleotides) under Caenorhabditis elegans. Lineage: Eukaryota; Metazoa; Nematoda; Chromadorea; Rhabditida; Rhabditidae. The record is from RNAcentral.